This 375-nucleotide ribosomal RNA is filed under the name uncultured bacterium. Its description in RNAcentral is "bacterial SSU rRNA". It matches the Rfam family "Bacterial small subunit ribosomal RNA", at positions 314 to 705 of the family's 1533-position model. The record is from RNAcentral.
UGGGACUGAGAUACGGCCCAGACUCCUACGGGAGGCAGCAGUGGGGAAUAUUGGGCAAUGGGCGAAAGCCUGACCCAGCAACGCCGCGUGAAGGAAGAAGGCCUUCGGGUUGUAAACUUCUUUUAAGAGGGACGAAGAGUGACGGUACCUCUUGAAUAAGCCACGGCUAACUACGUGCCAGCAGCCGCGGUAAUACGUAGGUGGCGAGCGUUAUCCGGAUUUACUGGGUGUAAAGGGCGCGUAGGCGGGAAUGCAAGUCAGAUGUGAAAUCUAGGGGCUUAACCCCUAAACUGCAUUUGAAACUGUAUUUCUUGAGUGUCGGAGAGGUUGACGGAAUUCCUAGUGUAGCGGUGAAAUGCGUAGAUAUUAGGAGGA